ACCAAACAUCAGAAGUUCCUUUCAAGGUCGUGAUACUAAACGCGUAGUCCUAAUAUGUAAAGUCUUGCUUGAAAAUGCUCCGAGCACCUGGCUGUGGAAGGUAGAAUGAAAAUUGCAACAACAAAUUCUUAACUCUAAUAGAAUAUUAACUAAAUUUUAAUCAGACCAUAAUAAUGCUAAGCAAGCUUUAAUCAAAUUCAAAGAAAUAUCAAAAGAAUUACAAAGAAAUAAUAAGAAAUCUUAAAGAAAUAUUAGAAUGAUCACAAAUAUAUCUCAAAUACAUCUCAAUUUAAUCUUAAUUUAAUCUUAGUUAAAAUCCUAUUGGACUUCAUUCAAACUUUAUGCCAAAAACUAACCAAAUCUUAAAUCUUAAAAAAACUCAAAUAAAAUCUUAAAUCUUAAAUCAAAUCUUAAUCAAACCCUAAAUUCUAAAUCAAAUUUUAAAUCCUAAACCAAACUCCAACUAAAUCUUAAAUCCUAAACCAAAUCCUAAUCCUAAAUCAAAUCCUAACCAAUCCUAAAUUAAAUCCUAAAUCCUAAACCAAACCCUAAAUCCUAAACCAAAUUCUAAUCUUAAAUCAAAUCCUAGCCAAUCCUAAAUCAAAUCCUAACCAAAUCCUAAUCCUAAAUCCUAAAACAAAUCCUAAUCAAAUCCUAAUCCUAAAUCAAAACCUAACCAAACUUUAAUUUUAAAUCAAAUCCUAACCAAAUCCUAAUCCUAAAUCAAAUCCUAAUCAAAUCCUAAAUCAAAUCCUAAAUCCUAAACCAAAUCCUAACCAAAUCCUAACUCUAAAUCAAACCCUAACCAAACCCUAAUCCUAAAUCAAAUCCUAAUCAAAUCCUAAUCCUAAACCAAUCUCUAAUCCCAAAUCAAAUCCUAACCAAAUCCUAACCCUAUAUCAAACCCUAACCAAAUCUUAAUCCUAAAUAAAACCCUUAACAAAUCUUAAUCUUAAAUCAAACCCUAACCAAACUCUAAACCAAACCCUAAACCGUAAAUUAAAUCCUGGUAAUUCCUACAACAGAUUUAUACUUCAAUUAUUAAUGAAUGAACCAUUGAU
RNAcentral lists this long non-coding RNA (1061 nucleotides) under Physcomitrium patens. Its description in RNAcentral is "long non-coding RNA (PPAT_LNC000025)". Lineage: Eukaryota; Viridiplantae; Streptophyta; Bryopsida; Funariales; Funariaceae. The record is from RNAcentral.